This 762-nucleotide long non-coding RNA is filed under the name Homo sapiens (human). RNAcentral's name for it is "HSALNT0350585". Lineage: Eukaryota; Metazoa; Chordata; Mammalia; Primates; Hominidae. The record is from RNAcentral.
CCGUCUCCUGGGCAGCCUAGUAAACAGAAGCCUGUCUCCCGGGCUGCUGGCAUGGCCUCCUCUUGUCCUGGGACCCCCAGCCCAGCAGGUCUGCCCCCUCCUUCUGUAGCCACUCCAGGCGAGACACUUGCCUCUCCCCAGGUGGCGUUUUCCCAUCCUCAUGUUCAUCUUGUCCUCCCCUGGAUCUGACCUUGAAGCUGGGCCCCCAAAGUCCAUUCUCUGCACAGCGGCCGGAUCAACUUUCAACUGAGAGUGACUGCUUCACCUCCUGCCCCAAGCUGGCCACUGUCUUCAGGGAGAACCUCAACAUCCUAAGCUCGCUCAGUCCCCACGUGGUCACGCUGGCCAAAGUCUGCAGCCUCCUCGCCAUCGGGAAGGCUCUGCCCAAAGAGUACUUAGUCCCGCGGCGCCCCCGGAGCCCGCCUUCCCGGACAUCUACGGCGGGGACGCGCAGCUCUGGGAGGCGCAUUUCCGCGGCAUCGGGCGCGCCUACCGCGCGCUGGGCAAGCAGGACGACUUCGCCAUCCGCGUGCUCACCGAGAACUUCACGCUGCCCUUCCCGUUCGCCUGGCCGCCGGGGUCCGACCCCGCCUGCGGGCCGCUCUUCUACGACCCCCGCGACCGCGCAGACUUCGACUUCCUGCUGCGCGGCCCCGGAGCUUCGCCCCCAGCGCUGCUGCGGCCCCUGCACGCCACGGCCCAGGCAGCGAUGCGCAAGCGGCGCCUGGAGCGGCUGGCCCUGAGCUGCGCCCGCGCGCGGGG